This 455-nucleotide ribosomal RNA is filed under the name uncultured bacterium. RNAcentral's name for it is "bacterial SSU rRNA". It matches the Rfam family "Bacterial small subunit ribosomal RNA", at positions 29 to 479 of the family's 1533-position model. The record is from RNAcentral.
AUUGAACGCUGGCGGCAUGCUUUACACAUGCAAGUCGAACGGCAGCGGGGGCUUCGGCCCGCCGGCGAGUGGCGAACGGGUGAGUAAUGCAUCGGAACGUGCCCAGUCGUGGGGGAUAACACAUCGAAAGAUGUGCUAAUACCGCAUACGUCCUGAGGGAGAAAGCGGGGGAUCUUCGGACCUCGCGCGAUUGGAGCGGCCGAUGUCGGAUUAGCUAGUUGGUGGGGUAAAGGCUCACCAAGGCGACGAUCCGUAGCUGGUCUGAGAGGAUGAUCAGCCACACUGGGACUGAGACACGGCCCAGACUCCUACGGGAGGCAGCAGUGAGGAAUAUUGGUCAAUGGACGCAAGUCUGAACCAGCCAUGCCGCGUGAGUGAAGAAGGCCUUCGGGUUGUAAGCUCUUUCGCAAGGAAGAAACGUAGUGGGCGUAAUAUCCUGCGCGGAUGACGGUACC